AUGCAGUCGNCGGUANCAGAAAGCAGCUUGCUGCUUUGCUGACGAGUGGCGGACGGGUGAGUAAUGUCUGGGAAACUGCCUGAUGGAGGGGGAUAACUACUGGAAACGGUAGCUAAUACCGCAUAACGUCGCAAGACCAAAGAGGGGGACCUUCGGGCCUCUUGCCAUCGGAUGUGCCCAGAUGGGAUUAGCUAGUAGGUGGGGUAANGGCUCACCUAGGCGACGAUCCCUAGCUGGUCUGAGAGGAUGACCAGCCACACUGGAACUGAGACACGGUCCAGACUCCUACGGGAGGCAGCAGUGGGGAAUAUUGCACAAUGGGCGCAAGCCUGAUGCAGCCAUGCCGCGUGUAUGAAGAAGGCCUUCGGGUUGUAAAGUACUUUCAGCGGGGAGGAAGGGAGUAAAGUUAAUACCUUUGCUCAUUGACGUUACCCGCAGAAGAAGCACCGGCUAACUCCGUGCCAGCAGCCGCGGUAAUACGGAGGGUGCAAGCGUUAAUCGGAAUUACUGGGCGUAAAGCGCACGCAGGCGGUUUGUUAAGUCAGAUGUGAAAUCCCCGGGCUCAACCUGGGAACUGCAUCUGAUACUGGCAAGCUUGAGUCUCGUAGAGGGGGGUAGAAUUCCAGGUGUAGCGGUGAAAUGCGUAGAGAUCUGGAGGAAUACCGGUGGCGAANGCGGCCCCCUGGACGAAGACUGACGCUCAGGUGCGAAAGCGUGNGGAGCAAACAGGAUUAGAUACCCUGGUAGUCCACGCCGUAAACGAUGUCGACUUGGAGGUUGUGCCCUUGAGGCGUGGCUUCCGGAGCUAACGCGUUAAGUCGACCGCCUGGGGNGUACGGCCGC
RNAcentral lists this ribosomal RNA (843 nucleotides) under Escherichia coli. RNAcentral's name for it is "bacterial SSU rRNA". It matches the Rfam family "Bacterial small subunit ribosomal RNA", at positions 55 to 889 of the family's 1533-position model. The record is from RNAcentral. Lineage: Bacteria; Pseudomonadati; Pseudomonadota; Gammaproteobacteria; Enterobacterales; Enterobacteriaceae.